This 679-nucleotide ribosomal RNA is filed under the name Penicillium sacculum. Its description in RNAcentral is "SSU rRNA". It matches the Rfam family "Eukaryotic small subunit ribosomal RNA", at positions 136 to 837 of the family's 1831-position model. The record is from RNAcentral. Lineage: Eukaryota; Fungi; Ascomycota; Eurotiomycetes; Eurotiales; Aspergillaceae.
CUACAUGGAUACCUGUGGUAAUUCUAGAGCUAAUACAUGCUAAAAACCCCGACUCACGAAGGGGUGUAUUUAUUAGAUAAAAMACCAACGCCCUUCGGGGCUCCUUGGUGAAUCAUAAUAACUUAACGAAUCGCAUGGCCUUGCGCCGGCGAUGGUUCAUUCAAAUUUCUGCCCUAUCAACUUUCGAUGGUAGGAUAGUGGCCUACCAUGGUGGCAACGGGUAACGGGGAAUUAGGGUUCGAUUCCGGAGAGGGAGCCUGAGAAACGGCUACCACAUCCAAGGAAGGCAGCAGGCGCGCAAAUUACCCAAUCCCGAUACGGGGAGGUAGUGACAAUAAAUACUGAUACGGGGGCUCUUUUGGGUCUCGUAAUUGGAAUGAGAACAAUUUAAAUCCCUUAACGAGGAACAAUUGGAGGGCAAGUCUGGUGCCAGCAGCCGCGGUAAUUCCAGCUCCAAUAGCGUAUAUUAAAGUUGUUGCAGUUAAAAAGCUCGUAGUUGAACCUUGGGUCUGGCUGGCCGGUCCGCCUCACCGCGAGUACUGGUCCGGCUGGACUUUCCUUCUGGGGAACCUCAUGGCCUUCACUGGCUGUGGGGGGAACARGACUUUUACUGUGAAAAAAUUAGAGUGUUCAAAGCAGGCCUUUGCUCGAAUACAUUAGCAUGGAAUAAUAGAAUAGG